RNAcentral lists this ribosomal RNA (255 nucleotides) under uncultured bacterium. Its description in RNAcentral is "partial 16S ribosomal RNA". It matches the Rfam family "Bacterial small subunit ribosomal RNA", at positions 29 to 302 of the family's 1533-position model. The record is from RNAcentral.
AACGAACGCUGGCGGCAGGCCUAACACAUGCAAGUCGAACGUGAAGCCACCUUCGGGUGGUGGAAAGUGGCAGACGGGUGAGUAACGCGUGGGAACGUGCCUUUCGGUUCGGGAUAACCCAGGGAAACUUGGGCUAAUACCGGAUACGCCUUCGGGGAAGGAUUCAUUGCCGAAGAUCGGCCCGCGUCGGAUUAGCUAGUUGGUGGGGUAAAAGGACCUACCAAGGCGACGAUCCGUAGCUGGUCUGAGAGGANG